GCUGAGGAGCCAGGCGUCCUCAGGGCCUCUCGCCUUUUUAACUCUCCCCCCCGCAACUCCCCGCCACCAGCACUAAUGCCUUUUUAAUGAAUUUUGAGAUGCCUGUUGCUGUUUGAUGGGAGUUGUCAAGUCAUGUACUGACCAGGCUUGCAGAUGGAGAAAGAGCAAGAAGGGUCGGCAAAAGCGCAGCUGGUCAAAAACACUACCUUGAGGAGAGAGAAAUAUGAUCUAGUACACGUGUGAUGUAUGCCGUAAACAUGAACUAAUGUCAGUAUGCCUUUUGGUAUCUGCAAUCCAAUCUCUGCUGACUCCAUUACCCGAGGCCAGUGAAGCUACUCUGCUGUGGGCUGCAGCGGUGCACCCAGGGGGUCAUGAUCAAAUCAAGUCUAAAAAGAAAUUAGACAAGCAAGUGACCUUUGAAAUGUGCCCAAGCCUUUCAGAAUUCCCCUUCACGGGCAGGAGGGAAGGAAGGAAAGGAAGCAAGCAAGCAAGAAAGCAGGCAGAUUGCUGUCAUGUGUAAGGUCACAGCCACCAGCCAUCACACAAAGCUAGGACAGCCAUGACUACUGAUACCAGUGGCUUAAAGAGUAGAGUGCAAGAUUGCAUCAAGCCUUCUUUGUGGCUAGAACUAGGUGCAGAUAUGGACCUGGAAGCUCUUGGAAACUUGCCAAGUGGCUGAAGCUGUAUCUGUCUUCCUGUGGCUCCUGGGGAUGUUAGUUCUGCCUGAAAUGCUAUGUUCUCUAAAUGAUGACGAAAAUGUCAGAUGUCAAGUUACAUUCUGAAAACAAUACAGCUCUAAAUUAGACAAGCAUACAAGAACUACAGGAAUAAGUAUGACAACCUUUUAGAAAAUCUGAGUAUCCACCAAUAGGUUUUACAGUGAAGAUCUCCUACACUUUUAACCGGCACAGAGAGGAACUUCAUCCUGGAGCUCUGCAAUGACACUCUUUUCUUGGCAUGGAGAAGAAGCCUGGAUCUUGGAGAAGUGUUUCUGAUCCUCCCUUUCCCUGAAGAGGAUUUGAACUCACAGGACAAAACUCCUGAAGAAGGGAAUUUUUCCUCAUUGAAGGAGUGCUUGGAAUCUCUACUCAAAAUUGUUCCACUUAAAAAUGGAAUACUUAAAUAUUUUUUGGUCUAUAAGGACAGAAUGUGUUUUAUAAGGCAAGGCUUUGAGCUUAAUAUCCUUUGAUUGGAUUGUUUCACUGUCCUCUGUAUUUCCUGCACUGGUGGAAAUGUGGGGGUCUCUUGUUUUGACUGGCAUUGCUGGAUUUAAGUACAUGUGCUUGAUUUAAAUUCCACUUCAGACACCUACAUUCUCUAUGAAACAGGAGUUUAAUGAUUUCUGACAUAGGCAACAGCUGAAUGAGCGUUUAGGAAUUUAAAUUCUGAGCCUCAGCACUGAAGACACAUAGUGGAGGUACUGAAAUUCUACAAUUCCACACAUGUCAUGGUUUUUGGGCCUGUUUAUAAACUUAUAUUUUUUUUUUCAAUUUAGCUCAAGCAUGUGAUUUAAUUAAUUAGCUUUAGAUAUUUUCAUUCUUCUACCUAACUUCAACUUUGAGACAGCUUUUGUGAACUCAUAUUCUCUCAGCAUAUAACGCCUCAUAUUUCAGAUUUCCUGUCUCAUUUCUAUUUAAAUCAGUGGCUAUAGGAAUAGGAAUGUUCCCAUGUUUUGUUUGAAUUAUAAGAAUUUUUUUCUCUGAUGUUAAAGAAGGAAAAAAUUCCUUUGAACUCUUUUGGACCAUUUGGGGCUUGCUGGCUUUCAAAGCUCUUAGAGCACUUGAUUAAAUGUUACUAGAUUUACUCUUAGAAGCAUCAUUCUCUAACAGGAAGUAUUUGUUAUCUCACCAUGGAAUAUGCUUCCUGCAGUUCAGGGUUAGGUAAUAAAUACUCCAUUAAUCUCAUCAUGCCUCUGUUUUCAUUUAGAUCCAUCUGGUUAAAAAUGAAAGGGGAGAAUAUGUUGACAUGUGUGUGGUACAGUGCCAGCAGUCAGCUCAAGUAAGAUGAUCAUAGAGCAUUUUAAAAGAAAAAAAUUCUGGAUUAUUGGCAUGGAUAAUCUGGUGAAGAUUUUAAGAUUUUUUUUUUUAAUACUGUAGAAUUGUAGCACUCUAAAUAAUUGCACUUUUUGAGUCUAGCCAUUACCAGGAAAAUAAAACAAGUUUCCUGCAGUAAUAUGUAUCAGUUUUUGUUCUGGGCUGGGAAUAUUUUAUGCUUACUCACACACCAGUUUUAAAUGAAAUUUAAUUAACCUAAUUCCUUAAAAAAUUGAGGAUUUAGCCUGUGACAUAUUCAUACUCUUGCAAAAGUAAUGGUACAACUUAUAACUCAAGUAAGGUGGAAUGUCAAAAGUUCUUCUGAAAUUUCUCAGUACCAAAUGGUUUUAAACAUUUUCUAUUUAGAAAUUGAAGUGUCUGCUUUAUACUCCUGAUUCAACAUGAGCUGAAUGGGUUUCUGAAGCUCUUACACCUUGUUCCUGGAGUGGGAAGAUCUCUGUUUCACCAGAAAAUCCUUCCCUGGCUGAGACUGAAGGCAGUGUGACCGUGUGAGAGGGCUUCGCUGAGAUCUUCCUGUGUAGCAUUUGCAAGACAUGUCACGCCCUAACUCACAUCUCUAUCAACAUUUGCACUCCUAAAAUGAGAUGACUGCCUGGGAGAACAGACUGGGGUGCUACAGAGCUGGGAGCAGUCAGCAUCCUCUGGGAGGUGCUAGUGCUUUACAUUAUUCCCAGACUGUAUGUUGUGGGACCUAUCCUCCUCAGGAGGCACUGAAUGCUGUUUAUUCACGCACAAUCUGGGGAAGCCGAGCAGUCUUGAAAAAUUGGUCUCAAAAGCAUUAUACUCGUUAUAUCCAAAGCAUUAAAAAAUUAUAAUUUUCUCUUUUUACUUCACUUCCAUUUGUGGCAUUGUUACAGUAUUUAGAAUUGCUGCUAAUAAAAAAAAUAA
Long non-coding RNA from Passer domesticus (house sparrow), 2942 nucleotides. RefSeq lists it as uncharacterized. Lineage: Eukaryota; Metazoa; Chordata; Aves; Passeriformes; Passeridae. The transcript is spliced from 6 exons. The record is from RefSeq and is a predicted model, not a curated record.